Molecule: ribosomal RNA, 745 nt
Filed under: Bacillus subtilis
Lineage: Bacteria; Bacillati; Bacillota; Bacilli; Caryophanales; Bacillaceae
Description: bacterial SSU rRNA
Rfam family: Bacterial small subunit ribosomal RNA
Source: RNAcentral
GCCUAAUACAUGCAAGUCGAGCGGACAGAUGGAGAGCUUGCUCCCUGAUGUUAGCGGCGCCCCCGGAAAAGUAACACGUGGGUAACCUGCCUGUAAGACUGGGAUAACUCCGGGAAACCGGGGCUAAUACCGGAUGGUUGUCUGAACCGCAUGGUUCAGACAUAAAAGGUGGCUUCGGCUACCACUUACAGAUGGACCCGCGGCGCAUUAGCUAGUUGGUGAGGUAACGGCUCACCAAGGCGACGAUGCGUAGCCGACCUGAGAGGGUGAUCGGCCACACUGGGACUGAGACACGGCCCAGACUCCUACGGGAGGCAGCAGUAGGGAAUCUUCCGCAAUGGACGAAAGUCUGACGGAGCAACGCCGCGUGAGUGAUGAAGGUUUUCGGAUCGUAAAGCUCUGUUGUUAGGGAAGAACAAGUGCCGUUCAAAUAGGGCGGCACCUUGACGGUACCUAACCAGAAAGCCACGGCUAACUACGUGCCAGCAGCCGCGGUAAUACGUAGGUGGCAAGCGUUGUCCGGAAUUAUUGGGCGUAAAGGGCUCGCAGGCGGUUUCUUAAGUCUGAUGUGAAAGCCCCCGGCUCAACCGGGGAGGGUCAUUGGAAACUGGGGAACUUGAGUGCAGAAGAGGAGAGUGGAAUUCCACGUGUAGCGGUGAAAUGCGUAGAGAUGUGGAGGAACACCAGUGGCGAAGGCGACUCUCUGGUCUGUAACUGACGCUGAGGAGCGUGUUGACCCGGAGCC